This 809-nucleotide long non-coding RNA is filed under the name Pan troglodytes (chimpanzee). RNAcentral describes it as "long non-coding RNA NONPTRT014313". The record is from RNAcentral. Lineage: Eukaryota; Metazoa; Chordata; Mammalia; Primates; Hominidae.
UCAUCUGCUGGAUGUCUGCUGGAUGUUUCACCUUGGAGAAGGCUUUUUGAGGCUAAGCUGUUUCUCAUGUUCAAAAGAGAUAUUGGUGUCUUCUUUGUAGCACUGUUAUAAAGAUGAAAUGUGGAAAUGUAGGUGAAGCCUUAGGAUAUGGCAGUGAUUGGUGUUAGUGUAGUCAUUCCCCCCUCAAACUGGUUAGAACUGAUUAUUUAUUUCUUUUGUUCCUAACUCUAAUCCCCUCUCUGGUGUUCCUGAUCCACAAGAGGCAUCCUGUUGUAUGUAGUGGCCACAUAACAGACUGCAAAGAACUGGAAAGCAGAGUAAUUUUAAUCCAAAAUGUUCAAAGGACCAAGACAAGUGGCAAGCCAUAUGAUGACUGACCAGAAACGUUAGAAAGAAUGGAAGAUGGUUUCCUGAAGCUUCGCUACUCUGGAGGUGGAAUGAAUUGUGCCAAAUGUCAACUUUUAUGGCUCAAUGAGCCCUUUCCUGAGCCUGUCAACAGUGAACUAAAGAAAUACAAUCUCUGUUUCUCCAGUCAACGGUAGAACAGUGCUUGCACUCCCGAUAUUUAUGGAUAUAUUUAUACAAUUCUCACAAACCUGACACCAAUGGCCUGGGAUCAAUGUAGACAAGUGGUAAAGAAAAACAGAAUGAUUCUCUGAAAGGAUGCAUAUUAAAAAAAAUAAAAGAUUUGUGUUCUGAAUGGCUUGUUUUGAGAAAAAGAUGUGCUUCAACUGAGAUCUACAUGAUGUAGCAAAUAAAAACAGGUAUGAAAAUCCCUUGAACUAAAUUUCACUGGAUUAACACAUCCG